RNAcentral lists this unclassified non-coding RNA (21 nucleotides) under Dictyostelium discoideum. The record is from RNAcentral. Lineage: Eukaryota; Evosea; Eumycetozoa; Dictyosteliales; Dictyosteliaceae.
AAUUCCAGAGGGUCCAAAAUC